CUCUAAUAAUUAGCGAUGUUGAGCAUCUUUGCAUGUGUCUGUUGGCUAUCUGUAAGUCUUCUUGGAGAAAUGUCUGUUCAGGUGUUCUGCUUAUUUUUAAUCAGGUUGCUUGUUUUUUGAUGUUGAG
Long non-coding RNA from Balaenoptera musculus (blue whale), 127 nucleotides. RefSeq lists it as uncharacterized. The transcript has 3 exons. NCBI's taxonomy places the organism in Eukaryota, Metazoa, Chordata, Mammalia, Artiodactyla, Balaenopteridae. The record is from RefSeq and is a predicted model, not a curated record.